RNAcentral lists this ribosomal RNA (478 nucleotides) under uncultured bacterium. RNAcentral's name for it is "partial 16S ribosomal RNA". It matches the Rfam family "Bacterial small subunit ribosomal RNA", at positions 28 to 507 of the family's 1533-position model. The record is from RNAcentral.
GAUGAACGCUAGCGGCAGGCCUAACACAUGCAAGUCGAGGGCUAAGCCCUUUCGUGGGCUGAAACGGUCGCAGGGGAACGUAAGGGUAACGCAACCUACCUUUCCCAGGGGGUUGGCCCUAACAAAUUUGAAUUAAUACUCCUAAUUGUUAUUGACUGGCAUCAUUUUAUAUUUAAACGUACGGGGUUUAACGAGGGGCGGGCGUCCUCUUAGCUAGUUGGGUUGGUAACGGCCCCCCAAGCCUACGAUGGGUAGGGGUCCUGAGGGGGAGAUCCCCCACACUGGUACUGAGACAGGGACCAGACUCCUACGGGAGGCAGCAGUGAGGAAUAUUGGUCAAUGGUCGGAAGACUGAACCAGCCAUGCCGCGUGCAGGAAGAAUGCCUUAUGGGUUGUAAACUGCUUUUAUAUGGGAAGAAUAAGGCGUACGUGUACGUUGAUGACGGUACCAUAUGAAUAAGCAUCGGCUAACUCCGUG